GGCCGAUGUCAAUAAACUCAACCUGCUC
RNAcentral lists this non-coding RNA (28 nucleotides) under Mus musculus (house mouse). Lineage: Eukaryota; Metazoa; Chordata; Mammalia; Rodentia; Muridae. The record is from RNAcentral.